GACGAACGCUGGCGGCGUGCUUAACACAUGCAAGUCGAACGCUGAAGCUCAGCUUUUGUUGGGUGGAUGAGUGGCGAACGGGUGAGUAACACGUGAGUAACCUGCCUCCUUCUUUGGGAUAACGCCCGGAAACGGGUGCUAAUACUGGAUAUUCACUGGUCUUCGCAUGGGGGUUGGUGGAAAGGGUUUUUCUGGUGGGGGAUGGGCUCGCGGCCUAUCAGCUUGUUGGUGGGGUGAUGGCCUACCAAGGCUUUGACGGGUAGCCGGCCUGAGGGGGUGACCGGUAACAUUGGGACUGAGAUCCGGCCCAGACUCCUACGGGAGGCAGAAGUGGGGAAUAUUGCACAAUGGGCGCAAGCCUGAUGCAGCGACGCCGCGUGAGGGAUGGAGGCCGUCGGGUUGUGAACCUCUUUCGCUAAUGGUCAAGCCGCAACAAUGGUUGUGGUGAGGGUAGUGGGUAAAGAAGCGCCGGCUAACUACGUG
This 483-nucleotide ribosomal RNA is filed under the name uncultured bacterium. RNAcentral's name for it is "partial 16S ribosomal RNA". It matches the Rfam family "Bacterial small subunit ribosomal RNA", at positions 28 to 507 of the family's 1533-position model. The record is from RNAcentral.